CCUACGGGAGGCAGCAGUGAGGAAUAUUGGUCAAUGGGCGGGAGCCUGAACCAGCCAAGUCGCGUGAGGGAAGACGGUCCUAUGGAUUGUAAACCUCUUUAGGCGGGGAGCAAUGCCGGGCACGCGUGCCCGGAGGGAGAGUACCCGCAGAAUACGCAUCGGCUAACUCCGUGCCAGCAGCCGCGGUAAUACGGAGUAUGCGAGCGUUAUCCGGAUUGAUUGGGUUUAAAGGGUGCGUAGGCGGAUUUUUAAGUCAGCGGUAAAAUGUCCGGGCUCAACCCGGGCCGGCCGUUGAAACUGGGGAUCUUGAGUGGGCGAGAGGUAUGCGGAAUGCGUGGUGUAGCGGUGAAAUGCAUAGAUAUCACGCAGAACUCCGAUUGCGAAGGCAGCAUACCGGCGCCCGACUGACGCUGAGGCACGAAAGCGUGGGGAUCGAACAGGAUUAGAUACCCCAGUAGUC
Molecule: ribosomal RNA, 460 nt
Filed under: uncultured bacterium
Lineage: Bacteria
Description: partial 16S ribosomal RNA
Rfam family: Bacterial small subunit ribosomal RNA
Source: RNAcentral